UGUCAGGGGCCGUGGAGGUUCGGCAGGCGAACCCCGCCAGGACUUGAUCGUAGCAACGGUAGUUUGUCCGGAUUUGCCGCGGAUUCCCUGGCAGCA
Molecule: signal recognition particle RNA, 96 nt
Filed under: Verrucomicrobiota bacterium
Lineage: Bacteria; Pseudomonadati; Verrucomicrobiota
Description: Verrucomicrobia bacterium (freshwater metagenome) signal recognition particle sRNA small type
Rfam family: Bacterial small signal recognition particle RNA
About the family: The signal recognition particle (SRP) is a universally conserved ribonucleoprotein involved in the co-translational targeting of proteins to membranes. Archaeal SRP consists of a 7S RNA and homologues of the eukaryotic SRP19 and SRP54 proteins.
Source: RNAcentral